GUAGGAUGGGGUGCUGCUCAUGGUUUCAGACACCCACUGGGAGGUGUUAGAACCUAUCCCUCUGGAUAAAGGAGGGACUAAGUAUUUACAAAAUUGCUAAUUCAUUGGCCUGUGUCUCAGCUACAUUGUAUUUGAGAAAUUAGCUGGAGAAAUGAAAAGAAAUAAUUCAUCGUGAUGCUGAUGGGACCUUCAUUUUGCUUCAGUUUUAGCUCAUGCUUUAUUUCAGAGUUACUUCAUUCAAGCAGUUGAGAGAUAUAAAUAAACUUUUACCUUCUAACUCCCAAACUCGGAGUACCAGCACUGGGAACGGAUUCAAUAGACUUUCACAAUUUGUUGAGAUCUUAAAAACAGCUUGCUUAAGUUUGCCCAGGCUUUGAGGACAGAAAUGAGGAUAAAACAAUGAUAUUUGUUCAGUCUUUUCAUAUAUCCUCUGUUGAAACCACAUGGGGACCCAAGGGAUUUCUUGGCAGAAGCAGUAUUACAAAUGGUCGAUUUACUGGCAUGGAGGGCAGCAAUAUGAAACAGUUGAGGUCUGCACACUUUCUCCAGCAUGAAGUCCACACAGAGAUCUGAUUAGGUCUGUUUAUGUGAAAUGAUUUACUAAGUGACUCAUUACUUGGAGUUUCUAAAACUGGGGUUUGGCUAUGAGAAUGUGGGUAUUUGGGGUAGAAGGAUGAAAUAUCAACCAUUUGGAAGAUAAACGGAGUACUUUGGUAGGCAGUAUAAACUAUAACAAGUACUCUGAAUUUUGUCUUUUAGCUAUGCCAUAUGUGCAAGCCUUGCAAUUAACAAGUGUCCUCAGAUGUACCAUGAUUGGUUCAAAUUGGACCUGUGUUCUCUGUGCAGCCCCUUGGAGCUGAAGGACGUGAAAUAUCCCUGUAUCUUUACAAUCAGUGAUCCUCACAUCUGGACUUCUUGGACAACUGCCGGAGAACACUCACCACUCAUAAGAAACAGGAGGCCACCACCACCACAAAAGCAUCUAACCCUGUUCAGAGUGAACCAAUACACUGGGAUCAGGGGUCAUGGAUUAAAGAGAAUCAGAUGGAGGAUCUCAUGGAAAUAUGAACAAUCCCUGCCAUUCCUAUCUACAUCUUCCUUGGGCUGUGUGGAUGCCUGUGCUCCUAAACUAACAAAUGAGACUCUGCCUACACAAUCAAAACAACCAGGGGAAAUGGGAAAUACAUUCAGUCAGCUUUUCGGCCUGUACGGUGUCUUGUGACAGUCUGACUAGUUGUUUUCACUAUGAUGACUCUUUUCUAAUAUUUUCCCUUGAAUAUAAUCCUAUUUUGUUAACUACAGAAAGUUAUCACUGAAUUGAAAAAAAUACUAAUUAUUGUGAAAAACAUACAAAAUUUAUUAUAUGAGGAAAUAUUUUUAAGAUCCAGAAUUCCUAUACUGCUAGUAUUAUUAUAUUUUACAGUUCUUUCACAAGCUGUUUUAUCUAUCAGUAUGUAUACCUGUGUGUGUGUGUGUACUUUUUUGACAUACAUUCUUUGCAACAUUGUUUUCUUACCUAAAAAUAAAUCACGAUAGUUUUCAUAGGUUAUUGAAUAU
Oryctolagus cuniculus (rabbit) is the source of this 1557-nucleotide long non-coding RNA. NCBI's taxonomy places the organism in Eukaryota, Metazoa, Chordata, Mammalia, Lagomorpha, Leporidae. The record is from Ensembl.